GUCUGCAACCCGACUCCAUGAAGCUGGAUUCGCUAGUAAUCGCGCAUCAGCCACGGCGCGGUGAAUACCGUUCCCGGGCCUUGUACACACCGCCCGUCAAGCCAUGAAAGCCGGGGGUACCUGAAGUCCGUAACCGUAAGGAGCGGCCUAGGGUAAAACUGGUAAUUGGGGCUAAGUCGUAACAAGGUAAC
RNAcentral lists this ribosomal RNA (191 nucleotides) under uncultured bacterium. Its description in RNAcentral is "partial 16S ribosomal RNA". It matches the Rfam family "Bacterial small subunit ribosomal RNA", at positions 1303 to 1500 of the family's 1533-position model. The record is from RNAcentral.